RNAcentral lists this unclassified non-coding RNA (385 nucleotides) under soil metagenome. Its description in RNAcentral is "partial contains 5.8S ribosomal RNA, internal transcribed spacer 2, and large subunit ribosomal RNA". The stretch from base 1 to 120 matches the Rfam family "5.8S ribosomal RNA", at positions 35 to 154 of the family's 154-position model. The record is from RNAcentral.
GAUGAAGAACGUAGCGAAGUGCGCUAAGUAGUGUGAAUUGCAAUAUUCCGUGAAUCAUCAAAUUUUUGAACGCAAAUUGCACUCUCUGGUAUUCUGGAGAGUAUGCCUGUUUGAGGGUCGUUUUAAAUAAAAAUCGAUAUGUUAUUAUUAACUUAUUUUAACAUGUCGGAAUUGAGUUAUCUUUAACCUCUUUUUUGUUGAAGUGACCUAAAAUUACCCAUUUUUACUUCGGUAUUUACAGUAAUUAAUUUUUAUCAUAAUUCCGAAGGGUUUUUUUUUAUUAGAUGUAACUAUUUAAUAGUUUUUACGUCUAUAAUUUUUCAAUUAAUGACCUCAAAUCAGGUAAGAAUACUCGCUGAACUUAAGCAUAUCAAUAAGCGGAGGA